CCUACGGGGGGCAGCAGUGAGGAAUAUUGGUCAAUGGGCUUACGCCUGAACCAGCCAAGUCGCGUUAGGGAAGACUGCCCUAUGGGUUGUAAACCUCUUUUGUCAGGGAGCAAUUGGCGCUACGUGUAGCGUUAUCGAGGGUACCUGAAGAAAAAGCAUCGGCUAACUCCUUGCCAGCAGCCGCGGUAAUACGGAGAAUUCAAGCGUUAUCCGGAUUUAUUGGGGUUAAAGGGUGCGUAGGAGGUAGGAUAAGUGAGAGGUGAAAUCCCGAGGCUCAACUUCGGAAUUGCAUUUGACACUGUUCGGCUAGAGAGUAGUUGCGGUAGGCGGAAUGUAUAGUGUAGCGGUGAAAUGCUUAGAGAUCAUACAGAACUCCGAUUGCGAAGGCAGCAUACCGGCGCCCAACUGACGCUGAAGCACGAAAGCGUGGGUAUCGAACAGGAUUAGAUACCCGAGUAGUC
This 461-nucleotide ribosomal RNA is filed under the name uncultured bacterium. RNAcentral describes it as "partial 16S ribosomal RNA". It matches the Rfam family "Bacterial small subunit ribosomal RNA", at positions 338 to 795 of the family's 1533-position model. The record is from RNAcentral.